AACGAACGCUGGCGGCGCGCCUAAUACAUGCAAGUCGAGCGAGAAGGUGUAGCAAUACACUUGUAAAGCGGCGAACGGGUGAGGAAUGCAUGGGUAACCUACCCUCGAGUGGGGAAUAACUAGCCGAAAGGUUAGCUAAUACCGCAUACGUUUCCGGAACUUCGGUUUCGAAAAGAAAGCAAUACCGUGGGUAUUGCGCUCCUGGAUGGGCUCAUGUCCUAUCAGCUUGUUGGUGAGGUAACGGCUCACCAAGGCUUCGACGGGUAGCUGGUCUGAGAGGACGAUCAGCCACACUGGCACUGCGACACGGGCCAGACUCCUACGGGAGCAGCAGUAAGGAAUAUUGCGCAAUGGACGAAAGUCUGACGCAGCGACGCCGCGUGGGGGGAUGAAGGUCUUCGGAUUGUAAACCCCUUUCGGGAGGGAAGAUGGAGUGGGUAACCACUUGGACGGUACCUCCAGAAGCAGCCACGGCUAACUUCGUGCCAGCAGCCGCGGUAA
Molecule: ribosomal RNA, 501 nt
Filed under: uncultured bacterium
Lineage: Bacteria
Description: bacterial SSU rRNA
Rfam family: Bacterial small subunit ribosomal RNA
Source: RNAcentral